AGUGGCAAAGAGCAACCAAAGAACUACACACCUAACAAUGUCAAGGCAGAGAAAGAAGCUUCUGGGCAGUUAGUGUGUGAAUUAUGAAAGGAAGAUGAAUGGGAGGUACGAAGGUGGGAAAAACAGACUGAAGUAGCUUGUCACUUCUACCUAGGACCAGUCUUGCUUUUAAGUAUAAUGAAUACCAGAUUUAUCAGUGAUGAAAUUGGACACACUCGAUUUUCCUCCCACUGGUAAUAUUUGCAGUCAGCAUGAAUAGACUUUCUCAGUACAGUUUUCAACUCCUGGCACAACAGUAUCCUUUUUCCAAACUAUAGCAUAAAUCACAGAAAAGUAUCUCCUCAUUUGUUUGGGAUGAGUUUUAAUUCAGAAACAAUUUAUAGUAAUAUUCUAAGAGACUGACUGAAUUUGCUUUCCCAACUGAAAAAGGAAUCAACUAUUUGUUAUUAUUUAAUGAAGCUUUGAAGCAUGAGGAAGUCAAUUAUUCUUCAGUGCAGUGAUGUACAAAGGGGACUCCUGCAUUUUCCCUGUUCCCUGAAGAGAUUAAGAACUUCUGAGUGGAGACAAACGGGAAAAAAUAUUGUUUGUGGAACCUUGCCUAGGCUUGAUGAGAAGGAGGAAAGAGCUCUUACAGCUAAAACUAAUCAGUAACUGUGGUUUCUCCAAACAUGGAAGAAUUUUCCAUCAACAGUCACAAUGGGGAGUGUCUAGUUGGACCAUCAUGGAAGAUGGAAUUUCUCAUUUAACAGCUGCAACAAUAACAUACAAAUAAAUUUACUGAUCAAUAAGGGAUGUACUUUCAGGGGCCUCAAGAAGGUUAGCAGGAUUAAAUGAAGCAAAAAGGAUGGAGCCCUAAUUCAAUAGGAAUGAUGUGAUUAUAAGAAGAGAAAGAGACACCAAAGCACAGAGGCAAGAUGGUGUGAGGACACAAUGGGAAGGUGGCAUCUGCAACUAAGGAGAGAAGCUUCUGGAUAAACCAAAUUUGCUGACCUCUUAACCUUGGACAUCCAGUCUCUAGAACAGUGAAAAAAUUAAUUUCUGUGGUUUAAACUACAUAGUCUUUGCAACUUUGUUAUGGCAGCCCUGGCAGACUAUCAGAAAUGCAUUAAGAUGUUCACAA
RNAcentral lists this long non-coding RNA (1120 nucleotides) under Homo sapiens (human). RNAcentral describes it as "long non-coding RNA NONHSAT166946.1". The record is from RNAcentral. Lineage: Eukaryota; Metazoa; Chordata; Mammalia; Primates; Hominidae.